This 253-nucleotide ribosomal RNA is filed under the name uncultured Legionella sp. RNAcentral's name for it is "partial 16S ribosomal RNA". It matches the Rfam family "Bacterial small subunit ribosomal RNA", at positions 524 to 776 of the family's 1533-position model. The record is from RNAcentral. Lineage: Bacteria; Pseudomonadati; Pseudomonadota; Gammaproteobacteria; Legionellales; Legionellaceae.
UACGGAGGGUGCGAGCGUUAAUCGGAAUUACUGGGCGUAAAGAGUUCGUAGGUGGUUUAAUAAGUUAUCUGUAAAAGCCCUGGGCUCAACCUGGGAAUGUCAGAUAAUACUGUUGAACUCGAGUAUGGGAGAGGGUAGUGGAAUUUCCGGUGUAGCGGUGAAAUGCGUAGAGAUCGGAAGGAACACCAGUGGCGAAGGCGGCUACCUGGCCUAAUACUGACACUGAGGAACGAAAGCGUGGGGAGCAAACAGG